RNAcentral lists this ribosomal RNA (497 nucleotides) under uncultured bacterium. RNAcentral describes it as "partial 16S ribosomal RNA". It matches the Rfam family "Bacterial small subunit ribosomal RNA", at positions 28 to 507 of the family's 1533-position model. The record is from RNAcentral.
GAUGAACGCUGGCGGCGUGCCUAAUACAUGCAAGUCGAGCGAACAGACGAGGAGCUUGCUCCUCUGACGUUAGCGGCGGACGGGUGAGUAACACGUGGAUAACCUACCUAUAAGACUGGGAUAACUUCGGGAAACCGGAGCUAAUACCGGAUAAUAUAUUGAACCGCAUGGUUCAAUAGUGAAAGACGGUUUUGCUGUCACUUAUAGAUGGAUCCGCGCCGCAUUAGCUAGUUGGUAAGGUAACGGCUUACCAAGGCAACGAUGCGUAGCCGACCUGAGAGGGUGAUCGGCCACACUGGAACUGAGACACGGUCCAGACUCCUACGGGAGGCAGCAGUAGGGAAUCUUCCGCAAAGGGCGAAAGCUUGACGGAGCAACGCCGCGUGAGUGACGAAGGUCUUCGGAUCGUAAAACUCUGUUAUUAGGGAAGAACAAAUGUGUAAGUAACUAUGCACGUCUUGACGGUACCUAAUCAGAAAGCCACGGCUAACUACGUG